Long non-coding RNA from Bos taurus (domestic cattle), 351 nucleotides. Lineage: Eukaryota; Metazoa; Chordata; Mammalia; Artiodactyla; Bovidae. The record is from Ensembl.
CUCGUGUCCGGCCCCGACUGCCGCUUCCUGACUCUGCCACCUUGAGUGCCUUUCCUACCCUGUCCCCUCGCCAGUGAAAGACGGGACUGUAGUAGCACGCGUCUCCUGGACACGAACAUUAAUGCUGUCAUGUCAGCAAAGUGCUCAACACCCAAAACCACCUAAGAUCAUGGCUCUCAAAGCCCACCAAUCACCUGGAGAUCAAGAGAUACCUGAGCUCCUUCCUGGAGGUUUGACUCAAAAUAGCUCUGGGACUGGUUGACCCAGUCUGGGAACCCAAGACACACUCCCUCUGUACACCUGGCACUUCUGGUCCCGCCCAGUUUCGCGACAUCGCCAAUCCCAAGCCCG